AAAUUUGAAAUAAUUUUACUUUCAGAGACUUACACAAAGGAAAUGGACAACUUUUAUUCUCACAUAACAAAACUAGUUAAUAAUUAUUCAAAAAAGAAUAGAUAGAAAAUGUAGUAACCUGCAGACAAAACAUGCUCUCAGCAUAUAAAAAAUGGACAGAGUGGAUGAGAAGUCGCAUUCUUGAGUGAAACUAAUGAAGUAAUUUGAUGAGAAAUUUGUAUUAGAAGCAAUGGUGAGAGAAGCAUUACCCCAUGGAAAGUGGUUUGAGGAUAAUGGGUGUGUUGUAUUGGUAAGAUGAGCCUCGGGAGUAGUCCAAGAUCUGAAAUGAAGUGAAAUGGGUUUUGAAUGGAAGGUGCCCCCACCCUACAAAAGUAGAGGUAUAUAGGCUAAUUAAGAGGAUGGUGUGAGGUUGCAUUAUUAAUAUUUACGACGAUCAUAAAGUAGAUUGUACCGUAAAGUCAGCAGAACUUCUUCACCUUUUACCUCCAAUGGCGUGGCCUUCCAUUUAUUAACUGUAAAUUGGAUCAUUGGACGCAUGCAGUGCACACCAGUGAUCAAUCCAAAUCAUUGUAAUUGUACUAAACCCUCAAUGGACCACUUCCCAUUCCACUUCUUCAUACAUCUAUAAAACUUGUUUUGUUUUUUUCCCACCAUUUUUAUAUCUAAACAAACAAAUAUUGGUGCACUCCCCAACUUUGAAACUCAUCACUGUUGUCCCUUUUGGUGUUUUCGGGUUCAAAUCUUUAUUUUUUAACUUUCACUAAUGAAAAAGGAUUACUUAGUUCUUUCUAUGAAAGUGAGACUCGGUUUAAUGUGUAUCUUUUUCAAUAAAUGUUCACAGGAUCAACUUUAGGGCUUCUAAUGCUGGUGUGCUUGCUAUAUAGUAGCUUUCAAAGCCCUAAAACUUAAGAAGAUAGAUACAAGUACCAAAAUUCAGAAGUAAAUGUUUUAAAGCUACCAGCACCUUUAUAUGACCAAGAAUAAUUGUAGUUCUGAAAUCAAAAUGAGCAUAUGUAUAAAAUCUGUAUGAUUCAUUUGGAUCAAAUCUGCAUUAAGCAUGAUGGUGACAUGAAGCCUGUGAUGAAGAUAUUAACAAGCUAUAAUGAACACUGAGAUGUGAUAAUGAAUUAAUAACCUAAGGACAAAGGCAUCAUAAUAAGAAAAGGGAAAAAUCUUGAGAAAAUCUUUUUGUGUUUGAAAGAAGAUGGGAUGGUGGUGCAGGACCAGAGAGAGAGAGAGUGAGGGUGAAGAUCAUGGGAGUGUCCAGGACUAAGUGAACCCGAAAAGUGACAGAUCCUUUGGGUAUAAGUUUCUGCUGGGGCUUUCCAUGUUUCCCAAGAUGAUAAGUUAACAGAUCAGAUGCAUGCACAUUGAUUUCGAUUGAGGACCAUGCAGCCCAAAAAAGGAGAUAGAGAGGACCAGAGAGAGAAUAAGGGGUGGCCAAGAAAAUAAAAGAACCCAACAUAACGAAACCAAACCAUUAUUCAAAUCAUCUUUACCAGUCACAGUUAGAUUUGGAUCCAUCUAUAUAUGCACACACCUUAUCCCUUUUCCUUACUUUUCAAUAUCAAAACAAAUAAUUAGCAUAAGCUUUUUCAUCAAUAUGGUUCGUGACAUUUGUUUUGUUCACGUUAGGUUUUGCUUUACUUAAAAAUUGUGUAAUAGUAGCAACACAUCAUUUUUUUUCAUCAACAAUAAUAUAACAACAUACAUAAACAUAAGACAGAUUGUUUUUUUUUUCAUCAGCAAACAUAAGACAGACUGUGAAGCUUUUUAUAUGUAUGGAUUGGACAAGUUUUUUUUAUAGGCAAAGAGAAAUUUAUUAAAACAUCUUUGGACAAAGGCAUAAGAAAUGUCACUUCCAGUUUGAAGAUAGUCAACAAUUGCUGCUUUCUCAAAACGUAAGCUAAAGCAGAUAGGUGGAAAGUUUCAAGUUAUUUAACAUUACAUGAUUGUAAGAAGGGUUUGGCUAGCUAGGCUUCCACAUGUCUUGUUCUUUCCUUUUGUCUGUUUUCGUUUUAUUGCACCAAAUUUGAAAGGAACAAGAGAAUGUAAUGUGUACGAAGUUUCUUUAGUGGCACCCAUGUUGUUACUUUGGGAUGUGGUCUCAGAAUCGUGGCUCUCGAUUGCAGUGCAUGCGUAUACAUACAUACUUCGGUGUGAAUGACAAUUAGUACUAUUAUGGAACAGGUGCAUGUGGAAAUUGUAACUCUCGUAAAUGACGUUUUCUAGUUAGGUAAUGCACUAAUGCUUGAUGAGACAGAACAAUGUUGGAAGCAAAAACUGUACGGCAGGGAGAACAAAAUUAUGGAAAAGCAAAAUUUAGAACCCUCUAUAUACUUCUACAACUUUUCAAUUUCAUAUAUAUAUUCCUCAACUCAAGCAUUCUGAUCGAGAAGUCUGAUCCAAAGUGUAUAUAUUAUUCUUCUCUUGGGGUGGCACUGCAACUUUGUGUAGUGGGAAAAUCAAUACUCAGCAUAUCCUCAGAGUGAGACAGAUUAACAAAUGUGGAAACUAAUCAUGAUACUCAAAAUGAUCUGAAAAUACAUUGAAAAUUGUUACACACACUAUAGUUAAUGAAGUAUAUAAUAAGGGUUUAAUGAGAAAUUUGCAGUGUUAUAGAUAAGGAGUUUUCACUUUGUUAGAGUGUUUUAUGGUGGGAGAAUAGAGGUGCAAAGCAAUGCAUGGUUGACUUGAAGUAAGUGG
This 2706-nucleotide long non-coding RNA is filed under the name Phaseolus vulgaris (common bean). RNAcentral describes it as "long non-coding RNA (PVUL_LNC000892)". The record is from RNAcentral. Lineage: Eukaryota; Viridiplantae; Streptophyta; Magnoliopsida; Fabales; Fabaceae.